Molecule: ribosomal RNA, 497 nt
Filed under: uncultured bacterium
Lineage: Bacteria
Description: partial 16S ribosomal RNA
Rfam family: Bacterial small subunit ribosomal RNA
Source: RNAcentral
GACGAACGCUGGCGGCGUGCCUAAUACAUGCAAGUCGAACGAACGGACGAGGAGCUUGCUUCUCUGAUGUUAGUGGCGGACGGGUGAGUAACACGUGGAUAACCUACCUGUUAGAGUGGGAUAACUACGGGAAACGGGAGCUAAUACCGUAUAAUAUCUUGUAUCGCAUGGUUGAUAAGUAAAAGACGGACUUGCUGCACUUUCUCGAUGGAUCGCCGCUGCUUGAGCAGGUUGGGAGGGAAACGGCCUACAACGGGAAGGAUGAAAGGCCGACGUGUGGGGGGGAUCGGCCACCCUGGAACUGAGACGCGGUCAGUACUCCUACGGGAGGCAGCAGAAGGGAACCUUCGGCAGUGGGCGAAAGCCUGACGGAGAAACGCGGCGUGAGUGAUGAAGGUCUUCGGAUCGUAAAACUCUGUUAUUGGGGAAGAACAGAUGUGUAAGUAACUGUGCACAGCGUGACGGUACCUAAUCAGAAAGCCACGGCUAACUACGUG